RNAcentral lists this ribosomal RNA (644 nucleotides) under Saccharothrix sp. 4231_1. Its description in RNAcentral is "bacterial SSU rRNA". It matches the Rfam family "Bacterial small subunit ribosomal RNA", at positions 100 to 758 of the family's 1533-position model. Lineage: Bacteria; Bacillati; Actinomycetota; Actinomycetes; Pseudonocardiales; Pseudonocardiaceae. The record is from RNAcentral.
GAACGGGUGAGUAACACGUGGGUAACCUGCCCUGUACUCCGGGAUAAGCCUGGGAAACUAGGUCUAAUACCGGAUACGACCCCAUGGGGCAUCUUGUGGGGUGGAAAGUUCCGGCGGUAUGGGAUGGACCCGCGGCCUAUCAGCUUGUUGGUGGGGUGAUGGCCUACCAAGGCGACGACGGGUAGCCGGCCUGAGAGGGUGACCGGCCACACUGGGACUGAGACACGGCCCAGACUCCUACGGGAGGCAGCAGUGGGGAAUAUUGCACAAUGGGCGAAAGCCUGAUGCAGCGACGCCGCGUGAGGGAUGACGGCCUUCGGGUUGUAAACCUCUUUCAGCAGGGACGAAGCGUGAGUGACGGUACCUGCAGAAGAAGCACCGGCUAACUACGUGCCAGCAGCCGCGGUAAUACGUAGGGUGCGAGCGUUGUCCGGAAUUAUUGGGCGUAAAGAGCUCGUAGGCGGUUUGUUGCGUCGGCCGUGAAAACUUCACGCUUAACGUGGAGCCUGCGGUCGAUACGGGCAGACUUGAGUUCGGCAGGGGAGACUGGAAUUCCUGGUGUAGCGGUGAAAUGCGCAGAUAUCAGGAGGAACACCGGUGGCGAAGGCGGGUCUCUGGGCCGAUACUGACGCUGAGGAGCGAAA